Molecule: ribosomal RNA, 392 nt
Filed under: Papilio karna irauana
Lineage: Eukaryota; Metazoa; Arthropoda; Insecta; Lepidoptera; Papilionidae
Description: partial 16S ribosomal RNA
Source: RNAcentral
CAAAGGUAGCAUAAUCAUUAGUCUCUUAAUUGGUGACUUGUAUGAAAGAUUGGAUGAAAUAUAUACUGUCUCUAAUUAAUUUAUAAAAUUUAAUUUUUUAGUAAAAAAGCUAAAAUAAGUUUAAAAGACGAGAAGACCCUAUAGAGUUUAAUGAUUUAUUUGAUUAUUAUUAAUAUAUAAAUUUUAAAAUUAAAAUUAAAUAAAUUAUUUUAUUGGGGUGAUAGAAAAAUUAAAUUAACUUUUUUUUUAUUUUAAACGUGAAUUUAUGAAUAGAUGAUCCAUUAAUAAUGAUUAAAAGAAAAAAUUACCUUAGGGAUAACAGCGUAAUUUUUUUUUUUAGUUCAAAUAGGAAAAAAAGUUUGCGACCUCGAUGUUGGAUUAAGAUAAAAUUU